ACAUUUGGCAGGCUACCCCAGACCCAUGUGGAGCAGAGAAACACUGGUGGCAUAGAGGGAGUGCAAGACCCUGAAGAAAAUAUGCUGAGGUCCUGAAGUGUGCAGGUGGGGCUUAAUGAGCUAGAUAAAACUGACAUUCCAUAAAAGAAAUGAGUAGUUCUGCCUGAAACUCAAAUAAUUGCACAAGUAUUUUUCUUCAAGAUAAUCAUCAUACUUUGUUACGAAGCAGAAAUACAGCUCUUCCUGCUUCCUUCUCAUCUUGUCACCUGGAAUAUUUGUCAUAGUUAAUUAUAUGUGUCUACUUGAAGGGUGUUUUUGGAUGACUCCACUCUCCCUCAUCUCUUCUGGAAAAUAAAAGGAAUCAGAAAUUUCUAGAAGCCAAGAACCAAAUGAACGAAGUCAAAAUUAUGCCCUAAGGCAACCCUUCCCCUCCAUGCUUAGAGCUAGCUCAAGGGGUGUGAAUGCCUCUCCAGGUCCAGUUUCUUGGUGCCACAGAAGGGUCAGCAUUGACUCUUACUCUGCUCAAUUUACUUCAACCCAGUGGGGCCUUGUU
Molecule: long non-coding RNA, 553 nt
Filed under: Pongo abelii (Sumatran orangutan)
Lineage: Eukaryota; Metazoa; Chordata; Mammalia; Primates; Hominidae
Description: lincRNA
Source: RNAcentral